RNAcentral lists this antisense RNA (75 nucleotides) under Streptomyces cellostaticus. RNAcentral describes it as "ASpks TB sRNA". It matches the Rfam family "ASpks TB sRNA". Lineage: Bacteria; Bacillati; Actinomycetota; Actinomycetes; Kitasatosporales; Streptomycetaceae. The record is from Rfam by way of RNAcentral.
CUUCACCGAGCCCAGCCACAACGGCCGUUCGUCGGCGCGCUCCUGGCCGUAGGUGGCGAUCAGGGCCUGUGCCUC